Molecule: ribosomal RNA, 503 nt
Filed under: uncultured bacterium
Lineage: Bacteria
Description: partial 16S ribosomal RNA
Rfam family: Bacterial small subunit ribosomal RNA
Source: RNAcentral
AUUGAACGCUGGCGGCAGGCUUAACACAUGCAAGUCGAGCGGGGUGAUGGUGCUUGCACUAUCACUUAGCGGCGGACGGGUGAGUAAUGCUUAGGAAUCUGCCUAUUAGUGGGGGACAACAUCUCGAAAGGGAUGCUAAUACCGCAUACGUCCUACGGGAGAAAGCAGGGGAUCACUUGUGACCUUGUGCUAAUAGAUGAGCCUAAGUCGGAUUAGCUAGUUGGUGGGGUAAAGGCCUACCAAGGCGACGAUCUGUAGCGGGUCUGAGAGGAUGAUCCGCCACACUGGGACUGGAACACGGCCCAGACUCCUACGGGAGGCAGCAGUGGGGAAUAUUGGACAGUGGGGGGAACCCUGAUCCAGCCAUGCCGCGUGUGUGAAGAAGGCCUUAUGGUUGUAAAGCACUUUAAGCGAGGAGGAGGCUUACCUAGUUAAUACCUGGGAUAAGUGGACGUUACUCGCAGAAUAAGCACCGGCUAACUCUGUGCCAGCCGCCGCAGUAA